This 524-nucleotide ribosomal RNA is filed under the name uncultured bacterium. Its description in RNAcentral is "partial 16S ribosomal RNA". It matches the Rfam family "Bacterial small subunit ribosomal RNA", at positions 28 to 523 of the family's 1533-position model. The record is from RNAcentral.
GACGAACGCUGGCGGCGUGCCUAAUACAUGCAAGUCGAGCGCAGGAAAUCAUCCGAACCCUUCGGGGGGACGUUGAUGGAAUGAGCGGCGGACGGGUGAGUAACACGUAAAGAACCUGCCCUCAGGGCUGGGAUAACCACGAGAAAUCGGGGCUAAUACCGGAUGGGUCAUCGGACCGCAUGGCCCGAGGAUGAAAGUCGCUUCGGCGUCGCCUGGGGAUGGCUUUGCGGUGCAGUAGCUAGUUGGUGGGGUAAUGGCCCACCAAGGCGACGAUGCAUAGCCGACCUGAGAGGGUGAUCGGCCACACUGGGACUGAGACACGGCCCAGACUCCUACGGGAGGCAGCAGUAGGGAAUCUUCCACAAUGGACGAAAGUCUGAUGGAGCAACACCGCGUGAACGAUGAAGGCCUUCGGGUCGUAAAGUUCUGUUGUAAGGGAAGAACAAGUGCCGCAGGCAAUGGCGGCACCUUGACGGUACCUUGCGAGAAAGCCACGGCUAACUACGUGCCAGCAGCCGCAGUAA